UUAUAUUAAGAUAAUCAAAAAUGGCCCCAACAAACUCUCUCAAACUUUUCUCACUACUAAUUUCUUCAUUAUUUUCCAUUAUCAAAAUUACAAUGGCUGGAGAUCCAGAUAUCCUUACAGACUUUGUUAUACCUCCAAACUUGAGUGCAUCAAAUAUAACAGGCUCAUUCUUCACUUACACUGGUCUAAGAACUAUAUCAACAGCUUCAACCUUUAAUGUCACCAAAGUAAGCAUGAGCGAAUUCGCGGCGCUCAACGGCCAAAGCAUUAGCUAUGCCGUCCUGCAGUACCCGGGGGGGACAGCUAACCCGCCCCACGUUCAUCCUCGCUCGGCCGAGCUCCUCUUACUCAUCCAAGGAUCUCUAGAAGUAGGCUUUGUGGACACAACUAAUAAGCUCUACACACAAACUAUUGAAGCUGGAGACAUUUUUGUGUUCCCAAAGGGUUUGGUGCACUUUCAAUACAAUGCCGAUUCCAACACAUUUGCAGCUGCUCUUUCGGCGUUUGGAAGUGCUAACGCAGGGACAUCUUCAGUUCCUAAGGCUUUGUUUGCUAAUGAUAUUGACGAUGAUGCUUUGGCUGUCUCUUUCAUGACUGAUGUUGCUACCAUUCAAAAGCUCAAGGCUGGUCUUGCUUCCAAGCCAUGAUGAGGAUAUAUAUGAGAAUUGUUGGAGCUUGUUGUCAUAAAUUUGGGUUGUCUUUUUAUAUUGGGUGAUUAAUAAUGUUAUCAAAAUGGAAAAUUUACAUGGUAUAUUAACUUUUACUAUUUUUUUAUAAAAAUACUGUCAGACGGUAUUUUUU
RNA transcript from Cannabis sativa, 801 nucleotides. It is a transcript of the gene named germin-like protein 9-3, with no coding region annotated. Lineage: Eukaryota; Viridiplantae; Streptophyta; Magnoliopsida; Rosales; Cannabaceae. The record is from RefSeq and is a predicted model, not a curated record. The transcript is spliced from 2 exons.